UAACCCGUGUUGAAAGGCACGGCUGAACUGGCAGGAGUCAGCAGAUGUCAUAGUACCUGUGAGGAG
This 66-nucleotide non-coding RNA is filed under the name Effusibacillus lacus. The record is from RNAcentral. Lineage: Bacteria; Bacillati; Bacillota; Bacilli; Caryophanales; Alicyclobacillaceae.